CUAUCACCUUAUUUUCAGUGCAACAAAUUUUGUAAUUAAUCUGGGAUCGAUAACCACAGACAAUGAAGAACUAGGCCGUGUGACAGUGUAUACUAAUAAGUCGAUUGUACACGAAAAUUACGACAAUAGAUAUCUUAAUAAUGAUGUCGCACUUAUUGAUUUGGGUGUAGACAUAGGAUCAAAUGAUUACAUCAAGCCAAUCCAUUUACCUUCGAAGGGAGAAGUUGUUGGGGUAAAUGAACAGCUUGAAGUAAGCGGAUGGGGAAUAACCAACGAUUCAGGUACAGUGGUGAACCGCGAUUUAAAUUUCGUAAAACUCUACAGUAUUAGCAACGAGGAAUGUUUGAAUUCAUUUAGCCCAAGAUUUGUUAUUGAAAGCACUCUGUGUGCUGUAGGAAAUACUACUGAAAGCCCAUGUAGCGGUGACAGUGGUGGCGGUCUCGUUAAGCGACAGAAUGGAAAAUCGAUACAUGUUGGAAUUACAAGUUUUGUUAAUGAUGCCGGUUGCUCUCUUGGCAUUCCCACGGGAUACUCCCGCACUGAGUCUUAUUUGGAUUGGAUAUCUAAGCAUACAGGCAUUAAAGUGUAACUUUGUAUGAAAUAAAAUCAACUAAAUGCA
This is a long non-coding RNA of Agrilus planipennis (emerald ash borer), 619 nucleotides long. RefSeq lists it as uncharacterized. The record is from RefSeq and is a predicted model, not a curated record. Lineage: Eukaryota; Metazoa; Arthropoda; Insecta; Coleoptera; Buprestidae. The transcript is spliced from 4 exons.